Molecule: unclassified non-coding RNA, 156 nt
Filed under: uncultured fungus
Lineage: Eukaryota; Fungi
Also listed under: 1 other name
Description: sequence contains ITS1, 5.8S rRNA gene
Source: RNAcentral
CAGAGUCGUAAAAAACUCCCAACCCAUGUGAACUUACCUUUGUUGCCUCGGCAGGACCUACCCUGUAGUUACCCUGUAGCUACCCUGUAGCCCUGCCGGUGGACCAUUAAACUCUUGUUAUUUUAAAUGAAUCUGAGCGUCUUAUUAAAUAAGUCA